CCUCCUUUAGAGUUUGGAUCCUGGCUCAGAUUGAACGCUGGCGGCAGGCCUAACACAUGCAAGUCGAGCGGUAACAUUUCUAGCUUGCUAGAAGAUGACGAGCGGCGGACGGGUGAGUAAUGCUUGGGAAUAUGCCUUAGGGUGGGGGACAACAGUUGGAAACGACUGCUAAUACCGCAUAACGUCUACGGACCAAAGGGGGCUUCGGCUCUCGCCCUUAGAUUAGCCCAAGUGGGAUUAGCUAGUUGGUGAGGUAAUGGCUCACCAAGGCGACGAUCCCUAGCUGGUUUGAGAGGAUGAUCAGCCACACUGGAACUGAGACACGGUCCAGACUCCUACGGGAGGCAGCAGUGGGGAAUAUUGCACAAUGGGCGCAAGCCUGAUGCAGCCAUGCCGCGUGUGUGAAGAAGGCCUUAGGGUUGUAAAGCACUUUCAGUAAGGAGGAAAGGUUAGUAGUUAAUACCUGCUAGCUGUGACGUAC
Molecule: ribosomal RNA, 481 nt
Filed under: Pseudoalteromonas sp. B2(2012)
Lineage: Bacteria; Pseudomonadati; Pseudomonadota; Gammaproteobacteria; Alteromonadales; Pseudoalteromonadaceae
Description: bacterial SSU rRNA
Rfam family: Bacterial small subunit ribosomal RNA
Source: RNAcentral